GACGAACGCUGGCGGCGUGCCUAAUACAUGCAAGUAGAACGCUGAAGGAGGAGCUUGCUUCUCUGGAUGAGUUGCGAACGGGUGAGUAACGCGUAGGUAACCUGCCUGGUAGCGGGGGAUAACUAUUGGAAACGAUAGCUAAUACUGCAUAAGAGUAGAUGUCGCAUGACAUUUGCUUAAAAGGUGCAAUUGCAUCACUACCAGAUGGACCUGCGUUGUAUUAGCUAGUUGGUGAGGUAACGGCUCACCAAGGCAACGACACAUAGCCGACCUGAGAGGGUGAUCGGCCACACUGGGACUGAGACACGGCCCAGACUCCUACGGGAGGCAGCAGUAGGGAAUCUUCGGCAAUGGACGGAAGUCUGACCGAGCAACGCCGCGUGAGUGAAGAAGGUUUUCGGAUCGUAAAGCUCUGUUGUAAGAGAAGAACGAGUGUGAGAGUGGAAAGUUCACACUGUGACGGUAUCUUACCAGAAAGGGACGGCUAACUACGUG
This 495-nucleotide ribosomal RNA is filed under the name uncultured bacterium. RNAcentral's name for it is "partial 16S ribosomal RNA". It matches the Rfam family "Bacterial small subunit ribosomal RNA", at positions 28 to 507 of the family's 1533-position model. The record is from RNAcentral.